RNAcentral lists this ribosomal RNA (429 nucleotides) under Actinomycetes bacterium. Its description in RNAcentral is "Actinobacteria bacterium partial 16S ribosomal RNA". It matches the Rfam family "Bacterial small subunit ribosomal RNA", at positions 355 to 776 of the family's 1533-position model. Lineage: Bacteria; Bacillati; Actinomycetota; Actinomycetes. The record is from RNAcentral.
UAGGGAAUCUUCCGCAAUGGGCGAAAGCCUGACGGAGCAACGCCGCGUGAGUGAUGAAGGUCUUCGGAUCGUAAAACUCUGUUAUUAGGGAAGAACAAAUGUGUAAGUAACUAUGCACGUCUUGACGGUACCUAAUCAGAAAGCCACGGCUAACUACGUGCCAGCAGCCGCGGUAAUACGUAGGUGGCAAGCGUUAUCCGGAAUUCUUGGGCGUAAAGCGCGCGUAGGCGGUUUUUUAAGUCUGAUGUGAAAGCCCACGGCUCAACCGUGGAGGGUCAUUGGAAACUGGAAAACUUGAGUGCAGAAGAGGAAAGUGGAAUUCCAUGUGUAGCGGUGAAAUGCGCAGAGAUAUGGAGGAACACCAGUGGCGAAGGCGACUUUCUGGUCUGUAACUGACGCUGAUGUGCGAAAGCGUGGGGAUCAAACAGG